Molecule: microRNA precursor, 81 nt
Filed under: Ictidomys tridecemlineatus (thirteen-lined ground squirrel)
Lineage: Eukaryota; Metazoa; Chordata; Mammalia; Rodentia; Sciuridae
Description: miRNA (ENSSTOG00000027972.2)
Source: RNAcentral
CAUCUAGGGAUCUUGUUAAAAUGCAGAUUCUGAUUUAGAAAAUCUGAGAUUUUGUGUAUCUAACAAGCUUUUAGGAUGAUG